CACACACACACAAUCUCACAGUGAGGUGCAGUGUCUCAGAGAUUCAGCGAGGUUGCAGUGUCUCGGAGAUUCAGCGAGGUUGCAGUGUCUCAGAGAUUCAGUGAGGGUGCAGUGUCUCAGAGAGGUUGCAGUGCCUCAGAGAGGUUGCAGUGUCUCAGAGAUUCAGUGAGGUUGCAGUGUCUCAGAUUCAGUGAGGGUGCAGUGUCUCAGAGAUUCAGUGAGGGUGCAGUGUCUCAGAGAUUCAGUGAGGUUGCAGUGUCUCAGAGAGGUUGCAGUGUCUCAGAGAGGUUGCAGUGUCUCAGAGAUUCAGAGAGGUUGCAGUGUCUCAGAGAUGAGCAUAACCUGAAUACUGCAUCCCAGUUAUCCAGCUCUGCGCCCUGCACUUCUAAUAAUAAAAUAGUAAUCACUAACAAACUUUGUGCUAGAGACCUCGCACUCCAGUCCUUCCCUUGUACAGCUCUUUUUUUUUUUAAAAACCCACUCGAUUACAGUGACAGACGUCCUUGUGUAGAAAUGAUCUAUCGAACACAAACCUGCCUGGUUUUCAUCUGCGAUUUUUUCCUUCGUUUUGAAAAACGUUGUGCCAAAUUGGGAAGGGAGCGUCCUUCCUUCAGACACACAGCAGCCUCGUUAAAUCAGACAGCCAGUAGCAUAAAGUUUGUGCGACCGCAUGAAGUUUACCAGCUUCUCUACAAGCGAGGACAGUACAGAGUUUGUCUUGCGUUUCCGUCGUUUGAAUGACGGCAGACUCUGGAUCAGGGGAACACAGUACUGUGGAAGGUUUGGGGAAAGGAACUUCCCAGUAUCUCAAAGUGCAAAGUGCAGUGACGUCUGAAUAAUUUUGUACUGCUCGGUCUAUAUUAGAUGUGAAUAUGUAUGUCAGACUGAGGCUAAUGUUCGGUGUCACUGGGGUAGUUUUACCUGUUAAUGUGUUUUUAAGGAAACAGGAUUGUCAAUCCAGGGACUGUGGUUAAUGAUACUGCCAGGAACUUAAUGGAUGGGGCUGGAUACAAUGCGUCCAGAACUGCAUGCUCCAGUUUUGUUGUAUUCCGGAAGCAGAGCUGUACAAUGCAAAGCUGUACGCCAGGCAAGAAUAUGCUCAUCAUACAGUACAGUGUGUUGUCGUUUUUCUUUCUAUCAUACGUCAUACAAGUUUGAUCAGCAUCUAACAGUUUUAACACUGAGAGCGGGACAACUCUGCUUGCACCAAUCCUGUUUAUUUGUUUAGAAUUUGGAAUUUAUUUUAUAAUGGAAAAUGGAAUUGGAAUUGAAAAACAGGACAGUCCUGAUCCAGUACUUUGACAGCAAAGUCGUUUGUUGUAGCGACACGCGUCUGUACCAAGUUAUUGGGGAUCCAUUCAUGCUCAGUCCCUUUUUGAAGAAAUGUUAAAUGCCUUUGCCUGUGCAGAUUUAGCAGCAUUGCACGGUUUUGUGACGCACGAUUCAGGUAGAUCUAAAAGUAAACCGAUCUGUUAGCAGAAAUAGUAGAUUUGUCUAACCUCCUUGCUGUGACAGUGCUGUUCUGAAGCUCUUUUUUCUUCAAGAAAUUGUUCAGCAAGAAUGUGUGUGCUCAACUGGCAAAUCUGCUGCUCCGAGCGGACCUGGGUUCAAUUCCAGUACCUUUUUUUUUUUUUUUUAAUCGAAAGGGCCUGUUUUAUGAUAAUCAGGGCACUUUGCAAGAACCCCAUUUUUGUUUAUUUACGAAUGCAAAGAUUUGUUCUGCGUUUUAAACGGAGGCAGAUGCUGCAUCUGAAAUGUGUUUGGUCACUAGAAACAGAAAAACAUAGUCAGUAUUGUGUGCUGAACUGCUGAGCACUUUAAGCCAAAACGAGGCACAUAACGAUCCAGCUUUACUUACUCUCUCUAAUGGCAGUAGUGCUGUAGUGGUUGGGUUAGAACUUAUUAGGGGUGUGCUGAUACUCCUACUUGUAAUUGCCUCUGAGAAGCAUCGAUCGGCAGGUAUUAAAUAAAUCCAUUCAUUAAUGUGUUGAUUUAAAAAUAAGAAAAGUCGUCCUUCCCUCACCUUCACAAUUGAGUGUACUUAAUUGCAAAGGUGAAGGAAGGACAGCCUUUCCUUAUUUGAAAUCGACACAGUGCGUGAAUGAAUGAAUGGAUGUAUUUAAUACCUGCCUAUAAAUGCAUUUUAAAGGCAGUUACGAGUCUGAGUAAGUGGGUUUUUAUUAAUAUCAUAUACAUACUGAAUAUCACAUACAUGUAUAUAUUUAUUUAUUUUAUUUUAUUGUUAUUUAAAAGUAAAUUUUUAUAUGAGUCUGCCAUUUACAUUUAGAUUUUUUUUUUUUUUUUUUUUUUCUGUCCUCUUGCAGUUACUCAGAUUCUUUCAAAGGUGUUAAUGUGUUUUCACUUGGAGUUCAAGUCGCGCCUCAGUUCUGGUUUUCUGCCCCUGUAAUCAAGACUAAAUCAACUUGAGUGCCUUUUGGGAAGUACAGCUGUGGCCGAAAGUUUUGCAUCACCUCGAAUUUUUGGAUUGAGACCAUAAAAUAAUUAAAAAAAAAAUAUAUGAACAUAAUUUAGAUCUCUAACAUCAUGUAUUGAAAGAAAAUUGAAAUGAUAUCGCAAAAGUCUACCAGAAGCUAUAAUGUUAGUACAGUAUUUCAUGUUGGCGGUAUGUAAUUCAGU
Molecule: long non-coding RNA, 2637 nt
Organism: Polyodon spathula (Mississippi paddlefish)
Lineage: Eukaryota; Metazoa; Chordata; Actinopteri; Acipenseriformes; Polyodontidae
Exons: 3
Source: RefSeq, a predicted model, not a curated record